This is a small nuclear RNA of Eptesicus fuscus (big brown bat), 107 nucleotides long. The record is from RefSeq and is a predicted model, not a curated record. NCBI's taxonomy places the organism in Eukaryota, Metazoa, Chordata, Mammalia, Chiroptera, Vespertilionidae.
GUGCUCGCUUCGGCAGCACAUGUACUAACAUUGGGAUGACACAGAGAAGGUUAGCAUGGUCCCUGUGCAAGGGUGACACGCUAGUCGGUGAAGCGUUCCAUAAUUAA